Puntigrus tetrazona (Sumatra barb) is the source of this 1575-nucleotide long non-coding RNA. RefSeq lists it as uncharacterized. The transcript is spliced from 3 exons. The record is from RefSeq and is a predicted model, not a curated record. NCBI's taxonomy places the organism in Eukaryota, Metazoa, Chordata, Actinopteri, Cypriniformes, Cyprinidae.
UGGCAGCCAUUCUCCUGCAAGAACAUCAACAUCAUCAGAUACUGGCAUCUCAUUCAAUAAUCAGAUCUUGGAUCUGCUCCACGAAAUCCAUGAAAUAGCUCAAAUGAAACGGGAAAAUAAAUCCUAAAACAGCACCAAUGCAGAACAACAGAAAUUCAACAGCAGAUGGAAGAGAGAUGAAGGACGAGAAGGUACCUGAUGACAAAGAGCUAUUGGUGAACACAAGGUGGAAGGAGAGAGCAAAGCAUGCUGGUCCAAACUCACACACAUGUCCUCCUGACAGACAGAUAUGGAUGCAUAUUAAAAGAUGGACAGACAUGCUCAUCAUUGAACUAUAUGAAAAAACUGCAUGAACGUACUCCUCCUGGGCUCCACAUGAAAAAUUACGUGAAGGAAGGAAACAAAGGUAUGAAACAGAGGAGAGGUUUUGAGGUCAGAUUAAGCAGAAUUGGUAAAGAUACUGUGCCAAAUGAUCAAAACGGUUCACAUGCAUGUCUCAAUAAAGAUGUUUGCACAAACACGUUGCGCUCUAUUUAUAUCACAGACCUAUAAAUCCGUACUCUACUAACAGAAUCUGUGCCAUAUAACAGUCUAGACACAACUCCUAUUAGAAUUCCUGCCUCGUAUGACAUAGAUUUUGUUAUUUAGUUGAAGAAAAGAUUCUUACUGGCCCCAAGACAGUCUUUACAUAGAGUACAGACACAAACAUAAGCUCUGCUCCAAAACCCUUUUUUGUAACUCUUUCCAGCUUUACACAGUCAACAGUUCUUAAUCCUAGGUGUUCUGAGAUCUCUUUGGCUCGAGGCGUGCUUCACAUCAGCCAGUGUUUCUUGUGAAGAGCGGAUUCCAAAUUUGUGAGUGUUUUUGAAUGGACUCCAGGUUAUUCAUGACUCUGGUUAGAAGACUUUAGACAAGGGAAUCAAUUUUUUUCUAGUCUGCACUGUGAAGGUUUACAAGGUUUGCUGCUUUCAGUCGAGCAUAUCAAUAGCUAAAUGUACUACCGUUUGAGGUCUGUGAGAUUUAUUUUUAAUGUUUUCGAAAUAAGUCUCUUACAGCUCCCCAAGGCUACAUUUAUUUGAUCAGAAAUACAGUAAAAGAAGUAAAAUUAAAAUGUAUUUUUUUUUUUUUUUUGAAUACAAUUUUAAAUGUAAUUUAUUCCUGUGAUGCAGGAAUACUCCAGUCUUCACGAUCAUGCUAAUAUCGUAAUUUGGGGUCAAAAAACAUUCCUAUCAAACACUAUUAUCAAGGCUGAAAAAACUUGUGCGGCUUAAUUUUUUAUGGAAAUCAGAACCAGAAACCAUUUUGUAAACCGAGAUUCUUUCAUCAAGUUCAGAAGAGUAAAAACAAAAACUUUUUGCAGCUAUGUAAAAGUCUUAAGAUCCUUGCACGCUUAGUUAAUAAUUUUCGUACUGCGUUUUUUACUAGUUUUACCUUGAAUUUGUCAUACUUUCCUAUAAUAACUCUUCCUAUAGAUCAGAAAACAAAAAAGUGAGCUGGCACUUUAUCAACAAAAUAAUUAUCAAAUAAAAGAAUAAAACGAUUAUUUUGUAAAAAAAAAAAAAAAAAAAAAAAAAA